UAAACUUAAUAAUUUGACGGUUAAUAUUUCAUAAAGGAACUUGUAAUUUAAUCGAUAUUACACGAUCUAUUUCACUUAUAUUGAUCUUGUAUAUCUCCGUAUAGAUUUUAUUAAAGAUUAUUAUCUAAAAAAUUAUUAUUUUUAUAUCAGGUCAAGGUGCAGUAUAUAUAAGUUAUUAUGUGUUACAUUAAAAAAUUAAUUUUUGAUUAAAUUUGAAAAAGUUAAUGAAAAUGAAUUUAUAAGUAAAAAAAAAUAUAAUAUUUUUUUGAAAAAUAAGUAUUCAUGUACACAU
Molecule: ribosomal RNA, 292 nt
Filed under: Opisthopatus cinctipes
Lineage: Eukaryota; Metazoa; Onychophora; Udeonychophora; Euonychophora; Peripatopsidae
Description: partial 12S ribosomal RNA
Source: RNAcentral